This 65-nucleotide transfer RNA is filed under the name Schizochytrium aggregatum. The record is from RNAcentral. Lineage: Eukaryota; Bigyra; Thraustochytrida; Thraustochytriidae.
CCCGUUACGGAUGCGACGGACCUGACUGCUGCGCUGCCGAGAGUGCGCGCGGAAGGACGUGCAGG